Molecule: ribosomal RNA, 809 nt
Filed under: Sphingobacterium multivorum
Lineage: Bacteria; Pseudomonadati; Bacteroidota; Sphingobacteriia; Sphingobacteriales; Sphingobacteriaceae
Description: bacterial SSU rRNA
Rfam family: Bacterial small subunit ribosomal RNA
Source: RNAcentral
GCAAGUCGGACGGGAUCCAUCGGAGAGCUUGCUCGAAGNUGGUGAGAGUGGCGCACGGGUGCGUAACGCGUGAGCAACCUACCUCUAUCAGGGGGAUAGCCUCUCGAAAGAGAGAUUAACACCGCAUAACAUCAACAGUUCGCAUGUUCNGUUGAUUAAAUAUUUAUAGGAUAGAGAUGGGCUCGCGUGACAUUAGCUAGUUGGUAGGGUAACGGCUUACCAAGGCGACGAUGUCUAGGGGCUCUGAGAGGAGAAUCCCCCACACUGGUACUGAGACACGGACCAGACUCCUACGGGAGGCAGCAGUAAGGAAUAUUGGUCAAUGGGCGGAAGCCUGAACCAGCCAUGCCGCGUGCAGGAUGACUGCCCUAUGGGUUGUAAACUGCUUUUGUCCAGGAAUAAACCUAGAUACGUGUAUCUAGCUGAAUGUACUGGAAGAAUAAGGAUCGGCUAACUCCGUGCCAGCAGCCGCGGUAAUACGGAGGAUCCGAGCGUUAUCCGGAUUUAUUGGGUUUAAAGGGUGCGUAGGCGGCCUAUUAAGUCAGGGGUGAAAUACGGUGGCUCAACCAUCGCAGUGCCUUUGAUACUGAUGGGCUUGAAUCCAUUUGAAGUGGGCGGAAUAAGACAAGUAGCGGUGAAAUGCAUAGAUAUGUCUUAGAACUCCGAUUGCGAAGGCAGCUCACUAAGCUGGUAUUGACGCUGAUGCACGAAAGCGUGGGGAUCGAACAGGAUUAGAUACCCUGGUAGUCCACGCCCUAAACGAUGAUAACUCGAUGUUGGCGAUAGACAGCCAGCGUCCAAGCGAAAGC